Molecule: long non-coding RNA, 683 nt
Filed under: Amborella trichopoda
Lineage: Eukaryota; Viridiplantae; Streptophyta; Magnoliopsida; Amborellales; Amborellaceae
Description: long non-coding RNA (ATRI_LNC001910)
Source: RNAcentral
CAUCACAUUCCCGUCAGGCGCUAAAUCACCAAAGACGGUCGAGCAUGUUCUUGCCGAACCGCCAUUGCAAUAUGUAUAAGAAAGUGUCAAGCCGCAAUAAUGAAUUGCCGGACCGCAUUACCAAAUUGGCGUACAGGAGAGUGCGUCCAGAAAAAACAUUGCUGGACCGCAACUAAGAACUGCCGGACCGCAACCAAAACAUUCCCAGACCGAAGAGGGCAUCCAGGAGGUCGAAUGUUGAAUCGAGUCAAAACAAAUGUCGGACCGCCAUUGAAAAUUGUCGGACCGCUCUAAAAAAGUGCGGGACUGCAACUGAGAACUGCCGUACCACAAGCAAAACUUUGCUGAGCGGUUUUAGUAUUAGCCGGACAUGAGAGAGAGGGGCGUGGACCUUACCAAAGAGAAAGGGUAUUUGGUGUUCAUUGAUCGGGGGAAUGUGUGAUCUAAAAAAGUAGUUGGGGGAAGUUGUUUAAGAAGUUACAUCUUGGGGUAUACGUUAUUUUUCUUCUUCCUUUUUUUUUAAGAGAUUUAUUUGUUUUUGGCAUUACAUGCUUCUUAGGCUUAAAUGUUCAUCCAAAGAGUAUUUUUGGGAUUCAAAAUUCCAGGGAUGUAACUUCCUCAAACUAACUUAAAACCUCAAGCGUAAAAGAAAGUCAUCUUUGCCCUUCAAAAACAAUGCCUAG